RNAcentral lists this long non-coding RNA (12635 nucleotides) under Marmota monax (woodchuck). The stretch from base 11171 to 11241 matches the Rfam family "tRNA". Lineage: Eukaryota; Metazoa; Chordata; Mammalia; Rodentia; Sciuridae. The record is from RNAcentral.
UGGUGGUGGUUCUUUGGCUAGAUCAAAAUCUGUGAAUGAGGAGUCAGGAAGAGAGGAGGGUUUAUAAGCCAAGAGGACAUGCUUUGGGUUGAAAGAGGUACAGAGAGACGGAUUGGAGUGAAGGAAGAGAAAGCCCGAAUGUGUAAAAUCUCUGCCCAUUUUUUUGAUCGCACUCAAUAAUUAUAGAGAUCCUGCAAAAUGGCGGGGCUAAGGACCCAUAAGGGGGACAAUGGUUUUGGUUAUCUAAGGGAUAAUUGGGCCAAUCCUGAGUAGAGAAUUUUAUCAAUUUCUUGAGUUUGAUCUCUGGGGUUAGGCUGAGGGUGUCCAAAUUGUUGAGGAGGCAUUUGAGAGGGGAGUCAGCUGGCAGAGAGGAGGCACCCCACCUUGGGGCUAUGAGGAAGGGUAUGAUAUAUUGACUGGAGAGGUGUCCCACUUGAGCCAAAUAUCAGAACGAGACCUCAGGCCGAGGAUAUGGUUGUCACCAAAAUCCUCCGGUGAGGGGCCCUUCCCGAGGUCCAUGGGAGUUAUGGGUUACCUGGUGCCAGGCUUUUGGACCAAGAGUGAGGAGGAGGAGACUCAAGCUCAAGGAGGGGAGGGGGUUUGUCAGUUCUCAAGCUGGCCAAGGCCUGUAAGGAAGGGGAAGACUCCAAGAGGACCCCUGUGACUGUGAAGGUCUGGGUGGGGUGUGUUCCUCCCCGCGAAACACCCUAGGGGCUGCCGGAACAUCAAUGGCCAGUUCCUUAUUACUGUGCCUCAGCAGGUUUAGGAGUCGGGAGAGGGAGACUCACCGAUUUGUAGGCCAAUGGUGGAUGUGAAAGAGGUGAUUAAGAAGAUGGGUGCAGCUUGGUCUCCACUCAGGUGGUGAUCUCCAGUGGGAUGGGAGUCCUGCUUAAAAGCAGGGUAGUUCCAUCUGAGUCAGGGCACCAAUGAAGGGCAAAUGACUCACCUGAGAUGGAGAUUCAACCAAGAGAUUUAUUGGGGGGGGGCUGCCCAAAGGGGAAGAAAAGGAGAAGCAGAGAGGAGGGGAGGAGAGCCGAGAGCAGAGGAAGAGAGCAGAAAGAGAAAGAGGAGAAAGAGGAAGAGAGCAGAGAGCAGAGAGGAAGAGGGCUGGGAGUGUGAGCUUGCAAGCUUCGUCUUGGCUUAAGAAGGGUUGUGUAGGCGAUGUGGCGGAUGCUGACUGGCAGGGUGACUCAGGAACUGCGAGCAGACAGUGUCCUACAGGGAUUGGUCAAGAAAACUUUUGAAUUUGGUGCUAUUCGGAGAGGAGGGAGAGGGGUAAGGGAUUAUGUGAUGUUCUCAUGAGACAGAAACUUCAGUGGGGACUUUCCCACACAUUCAACAAAACAAAUAGAACCACACAUAGUCUAACAUAGUCUUUCACCCUGAGCUUCACUGCACAGUUGUUUCCGGGUUCUAUGAGGGCAGGCCCCCAUUAAGGUUUCUGAAACUUUUGCUCCUUGUCAUGUUUGCUGAUGUCUUGUUGUCCAAAGCAAGUCACAUGGCCAAGCCUAGAGUUUGUGUGGGAGAGGAUACAUAAAAGUAUGGAUAUUAGGAGGCGAAUCACUGGCAUUAUUAUGACAGCUUACCACAUUGGGAGUUUUGAAGAACUCUAAAAGAAUGUUAGGGAAGAUUGUGUGGAGCCUGAUUAGGUAAAAAUAUAGUGGGCUGAAGCAUUUAUACUGUUGUACCUUUUGGCUUCGAGUGAAAGUCUAGGAUAUAUAGACUCUCUUCCCAUCUGAAUCUCUUAAUGUAUCUGCAUGUAUACCCAUCUUCUCCUUUCUUCCUGUUAAUAGUAUAAGAAGGUUAUCCUGUGUAUGCUUAUAAUCGCCUCUUCUUGCUCUCUUGGCCAUCAGUCUCUAAUGCAGCUUUUACCAUUUACUAAGUCCUUCCCCUUUUAAUUCAAACAUGUAUUGUCUCCCAUCUUUGAAAAUAUUUCUAAUCUAAUUUUCCCUUUUAGCUACCUCUUUUGUCUUCAUCUCUGUACAGCCAAGCCCACAUCAGUUGUUUACAUUGGCAGGCUCUUCUGCAUUUUCUCAGAAUCCCACUCCAGUAUAGCUUGCACCCCUCCCAUUCCAAGGAAGCUGCUCUUGCCAGUGUCAGAGGUCCAACACAGAGGUCCAAGGUCCACAUCCAAGGUCCAGUUUCUAGGUCCACUUUUCAGGUCUUAAAUUAUUCCAAGUUUCACAUUAAAUCCAUGUCUAAAGUCCAGGUUCUGUCCAACAUCAAAUCACGUUCUAGCUCUGAUAGCUAGUUCCAAGAUCAUGUAUAAUCAUUCUGAAUUAAAGGAUAAAAAUCUAGGGCUAAGAUUCAACUCUAAGACCUGAUGUUCCUAUAUGAGCUCCAAAUCCAGGACUAAAGACUAUAUCCAAGGAAUAUACAUACCCAGGUCUGAGGUCUAGACACUGCUGAUGGUCAAGAAAUAGGUAUAAUGUCAGACCUAGUAUUGUGGACCAAUCUGUGUCAACAUCUAGGUACAAGCUCCAAGUCCAAAUUUGAAGUUAAUGUACACAGUCCAGGUCAAUGUACCACUUCAUAUCUUUUAUGGGUUGACUUGUGUUCUGCCCCAAAAUUCCUAUGUUGAAGUUCUAACCUCAGGUGCCACAAUGUGAUCUUAUUUGGAAACCAGGUCAUUGAAGAUAUAAUGAAGUCAUCCUGCAGUAGGGUGCACUACUAACCCAAUAUGAUUGGUGUCCUUAUCAGUAGGAAAAAUGUGGACACAGGUACAUGUAUACACAGGAAGAAUGCUACAUGAGUAUGAAAACAUCAGGGCAAUGCAUCAAUAAGCCCAAAAUACCAAAAAUUGCCGUAAAACCACCAGAAGCUAAGAGAGUAGUAUGAAACACAUUUCUCGCUUACAAUCCUCAGAAGGAUUUCUAUGCUAUAGUUCUGUGGGUGCCAAAGUUUGGAUCUAGAAUGUCCUCUAAAGGCCCAUGUGUUCAAGGCCUGGUCCCCAACUUGAUAGUAUUGGGAGGUGGUGAAAAGUUUAAAAGGUGAGGUUGAGUGGGAGAGCUUUCUGUUUUUGGAGGUGUAUCCCUGAAAGGGAGAGUGAAAUCCCCACUCUUUCCUUUCUCUUUCUUUUGCUCACUGGCCACAUGGUUAAUGGAUUUACUUUGGUCAUGCCUUUUUGCCAUGAUGUGCUGCCUUGCCACAAGUCCAAAGAAACAGGGCCAACCAAUCAUGGAUUGAAACUUCUAAAGUUGUGAGCCAAAGUCAACUUUUUAUACAUUUAUUAUCCCUGCCUGCAUGUUCUAAUAAAUUUACAAAAUAGAGAAAUCACUGGAUUUGGCCCUGUGGGCUACAUUUUCUGGCCCUUAUUGAUAUUAAUCCCUUGACUUUAGACAAUGCAAAAAUCUUUACAUCUUCAAUGAACUGUUUUCUUUGUCUAAAGAAUUUUUAUUGGACAAAAUCCUACAUGUUAAUGUUGUCAAACUCCUCCAAUUUUCCAGGUAUUUUAGGAGUUUUUUUUUUUUCCUGGUCAUACAAGGACUAAACUCAGGGACACUCUACCACCGAGUUACAUUCUCAGUCCUUUUUACUUUUUAUUUUGAGACAGGGUCUUGCUAAGUUGCUCAUAUUGGUUUCUAACUUGCAAUCCUCCUGCCUUCUCCUACCAGCAAAGACACUAAAUUUUUUCUGUUAAAUUAUCCUAUCUGGGUCUGGGAUUGUGGCUCAGUGGUAGAGCGCUUGCCUAGCACAGGCAUGACCCGGGUUUGAUUCUCAGCACCACAUAAAAAUAAAGGCAUUGUGUUGUGUCCAUCUACAAAAAAGAUUCUGUCUCUCUCUCUUUAAAAAAAUUGUCCUAUCUGUGGUACUUUGUCACAGAAUCCUUAGCAAACAAAUGUAACCUCCAAGAUCCAGAUUGAAGUCCUAGGUCCAGGUUAAAAUACAGGAACACAGUCCAGGUCUCUAUCCAUGGUCCAAAUGUAAACUCAGGUCCAAGAUCCUAUAGUCAAAGACUUGAGUUCUAAAGUUGGAAUUCAGUAUUCAAAUAUAUGUCCAAGACCCAGAUCACAUUUCAAGGACCAAGUAAAAGGUUCAUUCACCUCUGCUUUCAUUUUCUAGUUGAGGUCAUUUCUAAGGAACUGGGCAAAUUCAGGUCCAAAAUACAUGUGUAGACCUGAGGUCCUGGAUCCGUGUCCAAGGUCAGUUCUAGUUGGACAAGUGAACUCUAGAGUCUAGAUCUAAAUUACAGUUCCAAAGUGCCAUUCCUAGAUGAGGUCCUAGUCCAUGCAAAAAGCCUAGGUUAAAUCCAGCACCUGGUCUGAGGUCAUGCUUAUGAUCUUAAUAAUUGCCAUUCUGACUGGAGUGAAAUGGAAUCUCAGUAUAGUUUUAAUGUGCAUUUCUGUAAUUGUUAGAGAUGUUGAACAUUUUUUCAUAUAUUUUUUUGACCAUUUGUAUUUCUUCUGUGAAGUGCCUGUUCAGUUCUUUUGCCCAUUUAUUGACUGGGCUAUUUUACUUUAUUUUUUCUUUUUUGGUGUUAAGUUUUUUUGAGUUCUUUAUAAUAUUUUAGAGAACUGAGGUGGAGGUGGCAAAAAUUUUCUCUCAUUCUAUAGGCUCUUUGUUCACGUUCUUGAUUGUUUCCUUUGCUGUUAAGAAGCUGUUUAGUUUGAUGCCAUCUUAUUUAUUGAUUCUUGAUUUUACUUGUGUUUUAGAAGUCUUAUUGAGGAAAUUGGCUCCUUUUGAAACUUCUAAAGUUGUGAGCCAACAUGAUGGAUAGUUAGGCCUACUUUUUCUUCUAGUAGGCCUAGAAGGGUCUCUAGUCUAAUGCCUAGGUCCUUGAUCCACUUUGAGUUAAGUUUUGUUCAAGACAAGAGAUAGGGGUUUAAUUCCAUGUUGCUUCUAUGGAUUUCCAGUUUCCCUAGCACCAUUUGUUCAAGAGGCUAUCUUUUCUCCAAUGUAUGUUUAUGGCACCUUUGUCUAGUAUGAGAUAACUGUAUUUAUGUGGGUAUGUCUCUGUGUUUUCUAUUCUGUUCUGUUGGUCUUCUUGUCUGUUUUUGUGCCAAUACCAUGGCACAUACCAUUUUUGUUAUUAUAGCUCUGCAGUAUAAUUUUAAGGUCUGAAAAUCACAAGAUUCUUGAGUAAAAUUACAAUUGUGUACAUAUCAGUGGCUUUGUAACAGAAAUAGUUCAUAUACACAGAAGAAAAAUUAAGGCAGUUUUCAGUUCAACAGAGGUUGACUCCAACCCAUCUCAAAGAUACUCAAUAGUUGAAGGUAUACCACAGAAUAAAUUUAAGAUUAUCCAAUAAACAAGAGCCAUACCACUGGUGUUUGAGAUAAAAUUUAAACAUAUUAAAGUUUAUUAUUCAAUCAGGAGUUAGAUGACUGUGCAAACUUUACCUCAACAGGAAUAUACCGAGAUGUGCAAACAAAUGCAAAAUUCCACUAGUGGUUUGACUGAAGGCUGAACUUUUUUUUCUUACAGAACUUUCUGAUAACAACCAUAAACUAUAAGUACAGGUACAAUGCAGUCAGUGAUCAUUUUAUUUAUUGUUAGAAUAUAAAGGAAUUGAGAAAGCAUAGGUUUCAUUCAUUAUAUUUUUUAUAAGGAAGACUGCAUUAACCUGAAAAAAAUGUUACCAUAUUAUCACACACAAACAUGCUUCAGAGGAGGAAUAUAUUUGAGAAUAUGAUAUUCUAAAUUCUAAAGGAAAAGUGAUCCUUUUCAACAAUGCAUAGUUGAUCCUUUUCCAUCAAUAAAUAUUGUUGAAAGUUCUUUAAGGAAAAACUUACUAAUUCUUCACUACAUAAGUUUUUGUGAAUUUAGUUUUUGAAUCACCAUAAUCCACUAUCCAAUAUUAAUAUCUCUUUUAUAGUACUACAACAAGCCAACAAACACUUAAAUGCACUUCACAUCAAGAGUAUGUAAAGUUUAUUUUUUCCUCUUCAAACCUUCAGAAAAUUAGGGGUUAUUUCAGCAACCAAUAUGGUCAGAACCUCUGAAGGUAAAAAUUGAGUGCCUCAUAGCAUAAAGGACUGUCUGCAGCACUGCAUACCAGCUGGUAGUAAAGUGUCCCCUUCCAAUGGCUUCUAGUAAGGCCAAAGUUUUAGGUUAGUAUGAAAAAGUGCCACCUUUGUUUUGGAUUAGUGUCUGACAGGAGAAAAUUUAAGUUAUUCUGUAUAUUAUUAUACUUAAAAGCCAGCUCCAAUCUUGAGUAUUUAUGGUAAUAUCUAAACAUACAAAAAUAAUAUAUAAAUUUUUCUUCACUUUCUUGUAAACAGUUGUCAGUAUACUGUUUUAUCCCUUUAUAAUUGAAACAUGCAAAUCAUACAUACAUAUAUAAAUACACAAAAGAGAGUAAUUUACACUCAUUCAAAAUCGAGCAACAAAAUAGUUUCAGUAUUCAAAUUAUACAUAAUGGAUGCAUCUUAUAUUCCUAGAAACAGCCACCAUUCAUCCUAGUGUUCUUAGCUGCAGUUGUAGAAAUACUGAGUUUUACAUUUUCCAUGCCUUUACAGUAUUUGUAACACUUAUCAUAUAUGAAGAUAAAGACUUGUUUAUAUAAUCUCUUCUUUUCAGAAUAAGAAUAAAGCAGCACUUAACAAAUAUUGAAACAGUAGCAGCAACAGCAGGUGUUACCAUUGCUAGAUCAGGAGGAAGUUUUCCAUUCUGACAAUUUUUAAAUUAAAAAAAAGGAAAAAUUGACCUAAAUGAAUAUAAUUAUGGGUUCAUUUCUUGGGCAUGUAACAGUGAGUCCGGCAUUUCAAAUGUGUCUUUGUAGUCCAUAUGCUGGCUGAUGGUAUAACAGUAUUUGUGAUUGGCAUCAGAACCAUUGGUUUUCAUUGGCUUCUUGUCCAGUUUUAUGAGGGUUCUGAGAUGUCCAUAGCCCACCUGAAAUUUUGUAACUUUUGCUCAUUUUGGAGUGAUGGUUGUGAGAAACAUCAUUGAUAUGCAGCUUCCUCCUUCAGGACCUGGAACUAGAGGAAAUGCCAUCACUACUCAGUCUAACAGGACUCUUCAAAACAGUGGGUGGCAUUCCAUCAGCACUGUGUUUACUGCCACCACUGCUCUUGCCACUAUGUGGAUGGGAAUGCUUGUGACUGCUGGUGUGGUAGUGGUUAGCAAGAUGCUCCUGGUGCUUUUCCUUAUUUAUGGUCUCUGCUAUAUAUGGGCUUAAAUGCUUGUUCUUCCACUGCCUUGAUCAAAACUGUCUUUCUGAGGAUGAAACUUUGUCUUCAUCUCCAGUUCUUCCUUACUAGUGCCUGUAUCAGUGGGUAGUAUUGGAAUCCAUAAUUUCAGUGAUCCACUCUUUUCCUUUUUCUCUCCUCUGUAUUUUCAGUUUUUUUUAGUAUUUGUGAUGGGAAUUUUCAUUUUAAUUAGAGAAGUUACAGAACUGCUGCUGGCUGCUUGUGACUGCAUGUGUUUGUGUUGCUAUUCUUCCUGGACAGCUAUAUAAUUAUCUCCUUAUACAAGACCUAGUUUCUAGCUUGUGUUUUUCUCUAUAUUUAUCUAAAUAAAAAUUUGGAGGAAUUAUUCCAGGAAUAGCAGAAAUAGGCUCAUGGUAUUUACUGCUCCCUGUUUUAUGAGUAUAUUCUUGCUUAACAGAUGAAUGAUCAGAAAUUUUGUCAGUUCUAUCAUGUAAUCCUGAAUUCAGAGGUACAGAAGGUCCCUGCUUGAAGUUGAUAUUGUAUUAGCUACCAGAAAAAUAUAUUUCCUAUUUCUAUGACUAUAUUAGUUCUGUCCUUGCUGAUUCUUGAUGUUGAGGCCAUUCUUGGUGGGAUGACAAACUGUAUGAGGUACUGGGCAUUCCUGUUGCUAGCACUGAUGAAUUAUCAGAUGUAUGGCUAUCCUGAACAGAUAUAUUUCCUGAAUUUAUAGGUCCCAGUGCAGGGAAUGCUGAUGUAGAUGCUUUCUGAAAACUUGGGUUUGUAAGCACACCUGUGACACUAUCUACUAAUAUGGAAUUCUGGACUAAAGCUGAACCAAAAAGUGGUGUCUCUCAAACGUGCCUAUCUUAUUUUUGUUUCUUAGCUGCCUGAUUAGCCCUCCAGUUUCAAAUCCUCUUAGGUAUUUUCUCCAAUAUUUUUAGAAACUCAGUUUUUAGCUCAUUUAGUUUUUUAGCUAAUUUAGAGUAACUGUAGGAUCCACAUAUUCCCACCAAUGCUUUCCAUCAGUCAAUACAGGAAUCUCCCAACUAGACUAUUUGCCAAAUUAAUGCAUGCACGUGUUAUCACUGUUUGUUUGUAUUGAAGACAGAAGGUUGUAAGAGGUAGACUGUUGGUAAUUAUAAAGUAGGAUGUCCAUGCCAAAUCCUUGCUUGCUCUUACUAACUGGGUACAUUUCACCACAUCUGUGUAUGGGUGUUUAAUGGUGAUCUCAAAAUCUAGUGUUUGUGACAUUAUGAUUUCAAGUAAAAACAGUUUUUGAGUCUGCUGAAGCAUCACAUUUUGUAUGUAUCCAACAGUGGCACAAGAAGAUUAAGAUAAAUGUGCUACUUUGAUAACAUGUUGAAGUUUUUGAGCCUGUUCUUUCACUUUGCAGCCAAAAAUAAUGCAGUAGGUGAUAUUCUAUGUCUGCUGAAUUUGAUGAAAAGAAUAGUGCAUACAAAACUUGUGCAUAUAAACAAUUACAGUGUUUAUUGUAAGCUUAAAGACACUGAGACACUUUCCUAUGUUCUGGAUAAGUUUGGGUGCUGGCUAGCAGUAUGAGAGUUCUUUAUCAGUCUCCACUCCAGUGGCAGCUUGGUGUGUUCUGCAGCUGUUCCCAAGUAUAAAACGAUUGAGAAGAAGCUCCACGGCCCCACACCAUGACAUGUCCUCCUUUACCCUGCUCCCUCACCCAAGUGAUUUACUUUGCCACAUACUUCCUGCCAUGCCAUCUGUUACCCCCAUCUGGAACCUCUAAACUGAGACUCAUGAACUGAAACCUCUAAAACUGUGAGCCCAAACAAACAUUUUCUCUUUAUAAGUUAUAUAUUAUAUAUAACUUUAUAAGUUAUAUCUUAUAUAUUUUGUUGUAGUGAUGGAAAUCUUAAGAGAAAAAAAUAUAUAUAUAUUUGGUAUUGGGCAUUGAACCCAGGGCCUCACACACAUUAGGCAAGCACAGAAUGACAUCCACAGCUGCUUUUAAAUUUUUAAAUUUUAAAACAGUACAUUACUAAGUUUUUAUGGUUGGCUUUGAACUUUUGAUUCUCCUGCUUCAGAUUCCCUAGUAGCUGGAAAUGCAGGAAUGUAACCACAACACUCAGCUCACAUUCAUCCCUUCAUAAGGAAGACUCUUCUGAAAGAAUGGUAUUAAUCCAUGUGUGAGGAUGGUGCCCCAUUGACCCAACACCUCCCAUUAAUCUCUACCUCCCAAACUGCUGCUUUGGAGAAUCAUAUUUUCAACACAUGAACUUUGGAGGACAAUUCAAACCACAGCUGUUGGUUGGUUUGUCAUCUCGUUAGCAGUGGAAGAUUUUUAACUCAUGGGUCUGGGAAUGGUGGGCAAGAUGGGAGUUUCAUGGAGUCUUUUCCCUGAAGUUUUACUUGUCCCAACACAGGUAGUAACUAUGUAGGUAGUUUCUCCUACAUAGUCUCAAUCUGUGGCAUUCAUAACUUAUCCAUUGCUUUGAUCCCACACUAUUUCUUAUCCUUAGAUUCUCCAGGUAGAGUUUCCCUAAAUAGUUCCACAUAAGGAGCCCUUACCCAGGAUUUUUAGAUGAUCCUUUAAAUGAAAAACUGCAAGAAAACAGCUUGAACUUGAGGAAAUACGGGGAAUGAAAAUAAAUUGUUUUUUUAAGUUUGAUUUUGACUCAAGGAGAAAUAAUAGUUUUACAGAAAUUCAGGGGCCAGUGGAUACUUUGAAGGACUAGAAAAUUGAAUUUAUCUAUAGGCUCUAGUUCUUUGCCAAAGAAAAGGGACAGGGUGUACAGGCGAAUAAGAAGACAACUGAGUUCUUAUGAAUUCGCAGAGAAUAUACAUUUGAAAGGGAAGCCUUACAAGUGAUCAGGUGAGGGAUUUUCCUUUGGUUUAGUGAUCCUAUGAAUCACAAAUUUAUGCUGGUCUACUUGUUUCCUGUAUAACUCUUGUCCCAGAAUUUCAGUUGUCCCCAAAAGCAGAACAUGACACUUGGGUGCAGGCAUUGUAUUUUGGGAAGUGAUCCCAGAAAAUUUAUUUUGAGAAGAGAUCUCAGAAAACAGGAACUCAGGGGACUGGGUAAUAAAAAAAGGAUAAUCAACCUUAGAAUGAAGUAUUGAACUGUUUUACCACUGAGGACAAUGGGGCCUCAAUCUAGUUGGAGGUCCUCUACCUCCCUUCAGAGGCUGGAAUGCUGGGAAUUGGCCCACUAGUGUCUGUCAACUAUUAUCAAGUUUUUGUGACUGCCAUUGCUGAUUGUAUAAUUGGCAUAGAUGUUUUCCACAUUUGUAGGGCUGAGAAGGUAGGUUGGUGGUGGAGCAUUUGUUAGCAUGUGCAAGACUCUGGGGUCAAUCUCUGCUACCAUGAAAACAAAAGUCUUAUAUGUCUGUAUGAGAAUGUUCACAACUGUUAAAGGAGAUUCUGCUAUUCAGGGAUUGUUACAUCGAAUUGAUCGCAGUUCCCUUCUGGCUGGCUCAACAGAAACAAUUAUAGAAUUCUAGAAAAAGAGGAAAGCACAACUUUCGAUUUAAUGGUUUUUGGAGAACUCAGAAUGGACAAGGUCAGUGAGAUAGAAAGAAGAGUCCUGGAUUGAGUACUGGGCUUUAAGGAUUGGUUUAUCUUUCAAAAAGUCUGAUGAUGAAAAAAAAAUCAGUAAAUGAGGUGCAACUAUCUACCAGAUAUAGAAUAAAGUUCCAUAUGACCAUUAUUUUCUUUGAGAGUAUAAUUUCCAAGGUUUAAAAAUUAUUACCUAUAUCCAUAUACAUUUACAUAAAAAGAUGGUUAGAUGUAUUUGUUUUCACCUGAAAUAAAAAAAACCUAUGGGCUAGGGCUAUAGCUUAGUGGCAGAGUGCUUGCCUAGCACAUGUGAGACACUGAGUUUGAUCCUUAGCACCACAUAAAAAAAUAAACAAACAAAAUAAAGGUAUUGUUUAUCUACAACUACAAAAAAUAAAAUAAAAUAAGCCUCUACAUAUAUUCAGUUAAUGAAUCCUAGGGGGCCCCAUGCACACUUGAGUUCAUGUAUGACACCUACAAUAGAUAUUCAUAUCCAGCAGCAAAUGGUCAAAUUUCUACUUACAACACUUUUAUGUAACAAAAACUGUUUGAGGACUGGGGAUAUAGCUUAGUGGUAGAGUGCUUGCCUAGCAUGCAUGAAGCUCUGGGUUUUGCCCCAAUACUACCAAGAAUGUAAAAACAAACAAAACACUUAAAUAGUACAAGGUCCUAAUUUGGAGGUAGAUUAUCUUUUUUUUUUUUUUGAGAGAGAGAGAGAGAAUUUUUUUAAUAUUUAUUUUUUAGUUUUCAGUGGACACAACAUCUUUAUUUUAUUUGUAUGUGGUGCUGAGGAUCAAACCCAGCGCCCUGUGCAUGCCAGGUGAGCACGCUACCGCUUGAGCCACAUUCCCAGCCCCAUGAGGGUAGAUUAUCUUUUAAAGUCAUCUUUUCAAUUAGUUAUUUUGAACUAUAGUAAUAAAAAUGGCACUUAUUUAGUACUUGCCAUGUGGCAGCAUGGAUUUGUUUUAAAACCCAACCUAGGGGAGUGCAGAGUUAAUAGGACACCAAGUAAUAGAGUCUGUGUACUGUGACACCAGAGGAAAGAUAUAGAAGAUGAGGAUGAGAAAGAAGUGGCCAGCUGCAGGAUAAUGCUUUGCUUGCAUCACUAGGAGAUUCUCAAUGGGGACCUCUGAAAGAUAUGAUAACGGUUAGAUGUCAGAGACCAGCUCCAACAGGGGGUCUCAGGAGAUGAACGGAUGGUGAGGAGUCGGCGAAAGAGGGGUGUAGAAACAACACAGACACCAAAGUGAAGGUGUUGAUCUCAAUCUUUACUUGUGAAGCUGAUCAUAUAUACUUUUCAUUUUGGCAGGCUCACAGUACUUUGUGGUUACAAAACAGGAAUCAUUAUUCAAAGAAAAAAAAUAUUACGUAGCUACAAUUAGAAUAGAAGAAUGUAUCUUGGCUUAUGCAUAAGCAAGCAUUUGUACUUUCAGUUUGCGUUUUGCUUCGAGCUGUUUCUGCUUAGUUAACUUUUAAUAAUAGUUAGAAAUGUCCCAAACUAUUGGCCUAUACCUUGACUAUUCUUUCUUGACUUACUGACUGGAACCGGUGCCAUGGUUACGGCAAGUGGUUGACUUGUUAUUAAUUUUAAUCAAACAAGAGUAAGAGCACAAACCAUUGUGCACAGGAACAAGAACAAGUUGCCCAGUACUAAGCACUAAUCUGUCUUCUUAACAUUAAUUUUUCUUCUCUAGAUUUUAAUUUAAUUUCUCAAAAACUUCCUUGACAGGAAUACAGGGAGUUUUUCAUUAGACAUUAACAAUUUACACUCCACAGCUGAAUCAUUGCAUUUAGAGCAAACAGAUCUAUUCUUUAGAAGUAGUUGCAUUAAUUGGGAAAGUCAUGUUUUUUCCUUCAUACUUAAUGGUCAUAUGAGAAAUCGCAACUAUACUUAUUAAAGGAAUACAAAAACAAAUCAGCCCAUUCCCAGAAACAUACUGCGCUCCUCCAGAGGAUGGACGCCUUGCGCCAUCCACCUCAGUAGGGCCUUGCCAUUGCCUGAGUCAGGGGAGGGGCGCAGCA